RNAcentral lists this transfer RNA (72 nucleotides) under Ictidomys tridecemlineatus (thirteen-lined ground squirrel). Its description in RNAcentral is "Spermophilus tridecemlineatus (thirteen-lined ground squirrel) tRNA". It matches the Rfam family "tRNA". From Rfam's summary of the family: Transfer RNA (tRNA) molecules are approximately 80 nucleotides in length. Their secondary structure includes four short double-helical elements and three loops (D, anti-codon, and T loops). The record is from Rfam by way of RNAcentral. Lineage: Eukaryota; Metazoa; Chordata; Mammalia; Rodentia; Sciuridae.
GGGGGUGUAGCUCAGUGGUAAAGUGCUUGCCUUGCAUGCGUGAGGCACUGGGUUCAAUCCCUGGCACCACAU